UUGGAGGGUGCAGGAAGAAAAUGAUGGAUGAGAUGGUCUGUUAUGCUUCUGUUAUUGGCAGGACAGCCAGAGGAGGCAGACAGGACCUUUGAUGCCUGGCAAGCUGUACCACUGGGAGGUAGGGAGAAGUGUGUUUUCAAAAUGGAAAUUCUUAGUGUGUUUUGCUUUUGUGUGAGAUAUUAAUUGCAGAAAGAUUGGUAGG
Molecule: long non-coding RNA, 202 nt
Filed under: Homo sapiens (human)
Lineage: Eukaryota; Metazoa; Chordata; Mammalia; Primates; Hominidae
Description: HSALNT0202271
Source: RNAcentral